CAGCCGCCACGGUAAUACGAGGGGUGCAAGCGUUAUUCGGAUUGAUUGGGUGUAAAGGGUGUGCAGACGGCUUAUUAAGUCACUUGUUAAAUUCUUCGGCCUAACUGAAGGUCUGCAAGUGAUACUGAUGAGCUAGAGGGUGGAAGAGAGAAGUGGAAUUCUCGGAGUAGCGGUAAAAUGCGUAGAUCUCGAGAGGAACACCAAUGGCGAAGGCAGCUUCUUGGUCCAUUCCUGACGUUCAUACACGAAAGCGUGGGGAGCAAACAGGAUUAGAUACUCCAGUAGUCCCUGUCUCUUAUAC
RNAcentral lists this ribosomal RNA (301 nucleotides) under uncultured bacterium. RNAcentral's name for it is "partial 16S ribosomal RNA". It matches the Rfam family "Bacterial small subunit ribosomal RNA", at positions 509 to 807 of the family's 1533-position model. The record is from RNAcentral.